This is a long non-coding RNA of Frankliniella occidentalis (western flower thrips), 448 nucleotides long. RefSeq lists it as uncharacterized. The record is from RefSeq and is a predicted model, not a curated record. Lineage: Eukaryota; Metazoa; Arthropoda; Insecta; Thysanoptera; Thripidae. The transcript has 2 exons.
AGAGAAUAGUUUUGAGGCUCAAAUAUUACCAGCAGUUGAAGAUGUACCCUCGAAAACAAAGUACAUUUUAAAAAUAACUGCUGUUGACUUAGAUCCUAAACCUCUAUCUUGUAUCAAGACACAUAUGCAAAGGAAUGAAUUGGUACAAGACGCCUGCAGAGGGACUUCAUCUUGAUGGAAAUGAAGUUUUGUGCUAUGAUACUUUACGCUAUAUCUGAUCGAAGGUCAUACUUUUUAGACCUCAAAGAGGCCUAACUAUGACUUAAAAUAAUCUGCUGUUAAAAGUUUUACCAAGUUGCUUCAUUGUCACUUAACUGUGUGGGCUGUACAUAUGAGGCAGAGGCUUUCAAUUGGUGAGAGACAGCAAGUUCUGGUGUACCUAAUUCAUUUUUUUACGAAAGAAACAAUUGCGAAAUUAUUGCUAAUAAAGUGGAAAAGAUAGUCAAAA